CAGCCGCCGCGGUAAUACGUAGGGGGCGAGCGUUGUCCGGAAUUAUUGGGCGUAAAGGGCUCGUAGGUGGUUGCGUAAGUCGGAUGUGAAAACUCAGGGCUCAACUCUGAGACGCCAUCCGAUACUGCGCUGACUUGAGUCCGGUAGAGGAGUGUGGAAUUCCUGGUGUAGCGGUGAAAUGCGCAGAUAUCAGGAGGAACACCUAUAGCGAAGGCAGCACUCUGGGCCGGUACUGACACUGAGGAGCGAAAGCGUGGGUAGCAAACAGGAUUAGAUACCCUGGUAGUCCACGCCGUAAACGGUGGGCACUAGGUGUGGGGACUUUCAACGGUCUCUGCGCCGUAGCUAACGCAUUAAGUGCCCCGCCUGGGGAGUACGGCCGCAAGGCUAAAACUCAAAGGAAUUGACGGGGGCCCGCACAAGCGGCGGAGCAUGUUGCUUAAUUCGAGGCAACGCGAAGAACCUUACCUGGGUUUGACAUGUACGGAAAAGCUGCAGAGAUGUAGUGUCCUUCGGGGCCGUACACAGGUGGUGCAUGGUUGUCGUCAGCUCGUGUCGUGAGAUGUUGGGUUAAGUCCCGCAACGAGCGCAACCCUCGUCCUAUGUUGCCAGCAUUUAGUUGGGGACUCGUAGGAGACUGCCGGCGUCAAGCCGGAGGAAGGUGGGGACGACGUCAAGUCAUCAUGCCCCUUAUGUCCAGGGCUGCAAACAUGCUACAAUGGCCGGUACAACGGGCUGCGACACCGCGAGGUGAAGCGAAUCCCUUAAAGCCGGUCCCAGUUCGGAUUGGAGUCUGCAACUCGACUCCAUGAAGCCGAAGUCGCUAGUAAUCCCGGAUCAGCAACGCCGGGGUGAAUACGUUCCCGGGCCUUGUACACACCGCCCGUCACACCACGAAAGUUGCCAACACCCGAAGCCAGUGGCCCAACCGUUUACGGAGGGAGCUGUCGAAGGUGGGGGUGGCGAUUGGGGUGAAGUCGUAACAAGGUAACCGUA
Molecule: ribosomal RNA, 996 nt
Filed under: uncultured Actinomycetes bacterium
Lineage: Bacteria; Bacillati; Actinomycetota; Actinomycetes
Description: bacterial SSU rRNA
Rfam family: Bacterial small subunit ribosomal RNA
Source: RNAcentral